RNAcentral lists this ribosomal RNA (403 nucleotides) under uncultured bacterium. RNAcentral's name for it is "bacterial SSU rRNA". It matches the Rfam family "Bacterial small subunit ribosomal RNA", at positions 355 to 774 of the family's 1533-position model. The record is from RNAcentral.
UAGGGAAUAUUGCAAAAUGGGCGAAAGCCCGAUGCAGCAACGCCGCGUGGGCGAUGAAGGCCUUCGGGUCGUAAAGCCCUUUUUGAGGGGAUGAGGAAGGACAGUACCCUCAGAAUAAGCCUCGGCUAACUACGUGCCAGCAGCCGCGGUAAAACGUAGGAGGCGAGCGUUAUCCGGAUUUACUGGGCGUAAAGCGCGUGCAGGCGGAUUGGAGAGUUGGAUGUGAAAGCUCCCGGCUUAACUGGGAGAGGUCGUUCAAUACUUCCAGUCUUGAGUGCAGUAGAGGGAAGUGGAAUUCCGGGUGUAGUGGUGAAAUGCGUAGAUAUCCGGAGGAACACCAGUGGCGAAGGCGGCCUUCUGGACUGCAUCUGACGCUCAGACGCGAAAGCUAGGGGAGCAAACG